RNAcentral lists this ribosomal RNA (391 nucleotides) under uncultured bacterium. Its description in RNAcentral is "bacterial SSU rRNA". It matches the Rfam family "Bacterial small subunit ribosomal RNA", at positions 505 to 898 of the family's 1533-position model. The record is from RNAcentral.
GUGUCAGCAGCCGCGGUAAUACGGAGGGUGCAAGCGUUGUCCGGGUUUAUUGGGUUUAAAGGGUGCGUAGGCGGUUCUUUAAGUCCGGGGUGAAAGCCCGUUGCUCAACAACGGAACUGCCCUGGAAACUGGAGAACUUGAGUACAGACGAGGGCGGCGGAAUGUAUGGUGUAGCGGUUAAAUGCAUAGAUACCAUCCAGAACCCCGAUUGCGAAGGCAGCUGCCUAGACUGUAACUGACGCUGAGGCACGAAAGCGUGGGGAGCGAACAGGAUUAGAUACCCUGGUAGUCCACGCCGUAAACGAUGGAUACUCGCUGCCGGCGAUACAAUGUCGGUGGCUUAGCGAAAGCGUUAAGUAUCCCACCUGGAGAGUACGCCCGCAAGGGUGAA